RNAcentral lists this ribosomal RNA (292 nucleotides) under uncultured bacterium. RNAcentral describes it as "partial 16S ribosomal RNA". It matches the Rfam family "Bacterial small subunit ribosomal RNA", at positions 505 to 796 of the family's 1533-position model. The record is from RNAcentral.
GUGUCAGCCGCCGCGGUAAUACAGAGGGAGCAAGCGUUGUUCGGAAUUACUGGGCGUAAAGGGCGCGUAGGCGGCUUAACAAGUCCCGUGUGAAAUCCCUCGGCUCAACUGAGGAACUGCACGGGAAACUGUUUGGCUUGAGUUCGGGAGAGGGAAGCGGAAUUCCGGGUGUAGCGGUGAAAUGCGUAGAUAUCCGGAGGAACACCGGUGGCGAAGGCGGCUUCCUGGACCGACACUGACGCUGAGGCGCGAAAGCUAGGGGAGCAAACGGGAUUAGAAACCCUGGUAGUCC